AUUGAACGCUGGCGGAAUGCUUUACACAUGCAAGUCGAACGGUAGAGGGGGCAACCCCUUGAGAGUGGCGAACGGGUGAGUAAUAUAUCGGAACGUGCCCAGUCGUGGGGAUAACGUAGCGAAAGUUACGCUAAUACCGCAUACGAUCUAAGGAUGAAAGCGGGGGACUCGCAAGAGCCUCGCGCGAUUGGAGCGGCCGAUAUCAGAUUAGGAGUUGGUGGGGUAAAGGCUCACCAAGCCAACGAUCUGUAGCUGGUCUGAGAGGACGACCAGCCACACUGGAACUGAGACACGGUCCAGACUCCUACGGGAGGCAGCAGUGGGGAAUUUUGGACAAUGGACGCAAGUCUGAUCCAGCCAUUCCGCGUGCAGGAUGAAGGCCCUCGGGUUGUAAACUGCUUUGUACGGAACGAAAGGUUUCUAUUAAUACUAGGAGCUCAUGA
Molecule: ribosomal RNA, 443 nt
Filed under: uncultured bacterium
Lineage: Bacteria
Description: bacterial SSU rRNA
Rfam family: Bacterial small subunit ribosomal RNA
Source: RNAcentral